AUGGAUGCGCCGCCAACGCCUGGCACCGGGUGCCCAAGGCAGAAGGUGCCAGCACGGGGCUGGGCUGGGCAGGCGCCGAGGGCGAGCCGCUUGGUGGCUGCAGGAAGCGGCUGCGCUGAGGGCUCCUCUCGCCUGGGGCCACCAGACUGGCGCGUGGCUUCCCGCGGACCGGAGGCCUGCGGCACGCCGGCGGCUUCCUCCCGGACUCGAGAAGGCCCUCGCUGGGCCUCCAGGACCCCCGAGCCGUGGGCAACCCUCUCUUCUGCCCGGCCUCCCCCUUCCUUUCACGGAGCCAUUCCCAGGGGCACCGGCCCUUCCCCAGGGCGGGCACUGCCCAGGGUGCACGGCGCGACCUGGGGAGACAAAGCGAGGCUGCGCGGAAGCCAUGGCGGCCACGUCCAGCUCCCAGCGCCGGCCCGUUUCUCCUCUGGCGAUUCCGCCCAUCUCUCCCUCUGUCCAGGCCUGGCUCGGCCCAAAGCACGCCGUGGCCUCCCCGAGAGAGGAGAACCGCAGGCGCUCUGGGCCUCCCCGGCUCCGGCGGCCUCCAGGCCAGGCCACAAGCUCCCCCGGGGGCUCUCGGACGUGCGUGGCAGCCUGGCGGCGGCCUCUCUGCUUCCCGGCCCAAAGCGGGCCGAGGGCCGGCCAGGCUUCCUUCCGACCCCCUCCUCGCCGCGCUCGGUCAGCCGGGACGGCCCGCGGCCCCGAGGAGGGCAGAGAUGGCGGCAGCCGGGGGGGCGCCCUGGGCGCAGAGGGCCUGCGGACCCCUGCCCACUCGGUGCUGCACAAGGGAAGGCGGGGAGGAGGCUGGAGCCACCGUCUGUCUGCUGGGGACACUGGACGGCAGCAGCGCGGGAGGACUCUGCUUCCUCUCUGUACGCUGAGGGGCAGACACGCCGACACGCCACACAUGUGUACACACGUGUACACUCCACACAUGCCACACAUGUAAACACAGGCACAUGCUCUCACACAGGACACAUGUGUGCAGGGCACACCCCACGCGCCACACAUGUACACACCCACACGCACACGUGA
Molecule: long non-coding RNA, 1035 nt
Filed under: Monodelphis domestica (gray short-tailed opossum)
Lineage: Eukaryota; Metazoa; Chordata; Mammalia; Didelphimorphia; Didelphidae
Description: lncRNA (ENSMODG00000045563.1)
Source: RNAcentral